GGGCUGCAGCAGGGAAUAUUGCGCAAUGGACGAAAGUCUGACGCAGCGACGCCGCGUGGAGGAAGAAGGCUCUCGGGUCGUAAACUCCUUUUUCUGGGGACGAACAAUGACGGUACCCAGGGAAUAAGUCUCGGCCAACUACGUGCCAGCAGCCGCGGUAAUACGUAGGAGGCAAGCGUUAUCCGGAUUUAUUGGGCGUAAAGAGGGAGUAGGCGGCCCUUCAAGUCGGAUGUAAAAUCUCCCGGCUCAACCGGGAGGGAUCGUCCGAUACUGUUGGGCUGGAGUGCAGCAGAGGGAGUUGGAAUUCCCGGUGUAGUGGUGAAAUGCGUAGAUAUCGGGAGGAACACCAGUGGCGAAGGCGAGCUCCUGGGCUGUAACUGACGCUGAUGCCCGAAAGCGUGGGGAGCGAACAGGAUUAGAUACCCCUGUAGUC
Molecule: ribosomal RNA, 433 nt
Filed under: uncultured microorganism
Description: bacterial SSU rRNA
Rfam family: Bacterial small subunit ribosomal RNA
Source: RNAcentral